This 503-nucleotide ribosomal RNA is filed under the name uncultured bacterium. RNAcentral describes it as "partial 16S ribosomal RNA". It matches the Rfam family "Bacterial small subunit ribosomal RNA", at positions 28 to 523 of the family's 1533-position model. The record is from RNAcentral.
GAUGAACGCUAGCGGCAGGCUUAAUACAUGCAAGUCGAGGGGCAGCAGUUUUGUAGCAAUACAGAAGCUGGCGACCGGCAAACGGGUGCGGAACACGUACGCAACCUUCCUUUAACUGGGAGAUAGCCCACCGAAAGGUGGAUUAAUAUCCCAUAAUAUAACUGAAUGGCAUCAUUUAGAUAUUAAAGCUACGGCGGUUAAAGAUGGGCGUGCGUCUGAUUAGGUAGUUGGCGGGGUAAAGGCCCACCAAGCCUUCGAUCAGUAGCUGAUGUGAGAGAAUGAUGAGCCACAAGGGCACGUAUACACGGGCCCGACUCCUACGGGAGGCAGCAGUAAGGAAUAUUGGUCAAUGGACGCAAGUCUGAACCAGCCAUGCCGCGUGGAGGAUGAAGGCCCUCUGGGUUGUAAACUUCUUUUCUUUGGGACGAAACCCCUGUUUCUACGGGGACUGACGGUACCAGAGGAAUAAGCACCGGCUAACUCCGUGCCAGCAGCCGCGGUAA